This 252-nucleotide ribosomal RNA is filed under the name uncultured bacterium. RNAcentral's name for it is "partial 16S ribosomal RNA". It matches the Rfam family "Bacterial small subunit ribosomal RNA", at positions 524 to 776 of the family's 1533-position model. The record is from RNAcentral.
UACGGAGGGUGCGAGCGUUGUCCGGAUUUAUUGGGUUUAAAGGGUGCGUAGGUGGGUUAAUAAGUCAGUGGUGAAAUACGGUUGCUCAACAAUCGAGGUGCCAUUGAUACUGUUAAUCUUGAAACAAGUGGAGGUUGCCGGAAUGGAUGGUGUAGCGGUGAAAUGCAUAGAUAUCAUCCAGAACACCGAUUGCGAAGGCAGGUGACUACGUUUGAUUUGACACUGAGGCACGAAAGCAUGGGAGCAAACAGG